RNAcentral lists this long non-coding RNA (485 nucleotides) under Nicotiana benthamiana. Its description in RNAcentral is "long non-coding RNA (NBEN_LNC009160)". Lineage: Eukaryota; Viridiplantae; Streptophyta; Magnoliopsida; Solanales; Solanaceae. The record is from RNAcentral.
AAAAAAUUCCCCCAAACUUUCAUUUUUCAGAACGUUAGGGUUUCAAAAAAUCAAAGCAAAGGCUCUUCUUCUUAACUACAAUCAAUUCUCUUUGUUUUGCUGGUACCUGGUACGGCUCUAUGACUCUCAAUUAUUGGUUCUUGACUUUUGGUUUCUUAUAAGAAAUUGGUAGUUUUAUACCCUUUUGAGUUUUGUCAUUAAGCUCCAUAUUUAGAAAUUAUUUGCAUUUGUUUGGAUAACUUGUUAGCUCAUCCCAUUCAAUCUAACAAGAUUAAAGUACCACUGCUGGAGUGUAAUUUAUUUUUUGUGUUUUAUGAUUUUUUUAGUGAGAGUCGAUAUGAUUCCGAAAAUUUUCAAGGCUAUUCCAACUCCCCAAACUUCUGGUUCUGGACCUUCUGGUUAUUGUAUAGUAACUUGAGGAAUGUUCUAGAGUUUUAAAUCUUUAACCCAUAAAGUUAAAUUUUUGGAUCCGCCCCUGAUUAAAU